AUGUCUUCGCAAGAGUCAGUUGGGGAGAGCCGGGUGUCUCAUCUAGCAUCGAGAUCAAUGACAAACAACAAUGUUGACCUCUUUGGGCCAACAACGGAGGAAGAGAUGGAGGCCGAAUUGAAGAGGAUAGAUGCCAUGGAAGAGGAUCAAGAAGUCACUUCUCGUUUCCGAGAUGGAUUCACAAUGGGAGAACUGCAGAGCUCGGCUAUUCCAAACUCGAUUAUCCCUUCCAAUGUUAGAUUUCUUUCUUAUGAGAAUAUGAAAAAGAGUGGCACUGGUUCUCCCAUAGCUACGCAGCACCCUUGGGUGCAGGGAGCUUUGUCUCUUAUAGGAAAACUCUGA
Molecule: ribosomal RNA, 342 nt
Filed under: Triticum aestivum (bread wheat)
Lineage: Eukaryota; Viridiplantae; Streptophyta; Magnoliopsida; Poales; Poaceae
Description: partial small subunit ribosomal RNA
Source: RNAcentral